UAUAAAUAUAUGAUGGUGUGGUCAUCAUUUGUAGGACAAUCAAAAUAAGCCAUAUGCACUACAAAGUCUUAUACCUCUACUACACCUAAAAGCCUUUCACCUCAUAAAUUUCCUCCUUGUAAUAUAAUCCACUAUUCUUCUAAUACUCCACUUUUGUACUCUCAUAUUUUAAACAUAGUGGAAUUAUUUUUCAUUGUUCGUGUGUUUCUUCUAGCUUAUUGCUUGUCUUACAUUCUCUAUUUAUUUUCUCGAUUCACAUACAUUUCCGCUACGCUCUUAAACCCAACA
RNAcentral lists this long non-coding RNA (288 nucleotides) under Nicotiana benthamiana. RNAcentral's name for it is "long non-coding RNA (NBEN_LNC023001)". Lineage: Eukaryota; Viridiplantae; Streptophyta; Magnoliopsida; Solanales; Solanaceae. The record is from RNAcentral.